CCUACGGGAGGCAGCAGUAGGGAAUAUUGCUCAAUGGGGGAAACCCUGAAGCAGCAACGCCGCGUGGAGGAUGAAGGUUUUCGGAUUGUAAACUCCUUUUGUUAGAGAAGUUAAUGUCGGUAUCUAACGACUAAGCACCGGCUAACUCCGUGCCAGCAGCCGCGGUAAUACGGCGGAUGUGAGCGUUAUCCGGAUUAAUUGGGUUUAAAGGGUGCGCAGGCGGAUGCGGAAGGUCAGCGGUAAAAUUGCGGGCCUAAACCGGGCCGAGCCGUUGAAACUGCUGUUCUAGAGUGGGCGAGAAGUAUGCGGAAUGCGUGGUGUAGCGGUGAAAUGCAUAGAGAUCACGCAGAACUCCGAUUGCGAAGGCAGCAUACCGGCGCAUAACUGACGCUCAUGCACGAAAGCGUGGGUAUCGAACAGGAUUAGAUACCCCUGUAGUC
This 440-nucleotide ribosomal RNA is filed under the name uncultured bacterium. RNAcentral's name for it is "partial 16S ribosomal RNA". It matches the Rfam family "Bacterial small subunit ribosomal RNA", at positions 338 to 795 of the family's 1533-position model. The record is from RNAcentral.